UUUAAUUCGAAGCAACGCGAAGAACCUUACCAGGUCUUGACAUCCUCUGACAAUCCUAGAGAUAGGACGUUCCCCUUCGGGGGACAGAGUGACAGGUGGUGCAUGGUUGUCGUCAGCUCGUGUCGUGAGAUGUUGGGUUAAGUCCCGCAACGAGCGCAACCCUUGUCCUUAGUUGCCAGCAUUUAGUUGGGCACUCUAAGGAGACUGCCGGUGACAAACCGGAGGAAGGUGGGGAUGACGUCAAAUCAUCAUGCCCCUUAUGACCUGGGCUACACACGUGCUACAAUGGAUGGUACAAAGGGCUGCGAGACCGCGAGGUUUAGCCAAUCCCAUAAAACCAUUCUCAGUUCGGAUUGUAGGCUGCAACUCGCCUACAUGAAGCCGGAAUCGCUAGUAAUCGUGGAUCAGCAUGCCA
RNAcentral lists this ribosomal RNA (415 nucleotides) under uncultured bacterium. Its description in RNAcentral is "bacterial SSU rRNA". It matches the Rfam family "Bacterial small subunit ribosomal RNA", at positions 945 to 1359 of the family's 1533-position model. The record is from RNAcentral.